RNAcentral lists this ribosomal RNA (207 nucleotides) under uncultured bacterium. RNAcentral describes it as "partial 16S ribosomal RNA". It matches the Rfam family "Bacterial small subunit ribosomal RNA", at positions 568 to 774 of the family's 1533-position model. The record is from RNAcentral.
CGUGUAGGCGGUUAAUAAAGUUGAAAGUGAAAUCCCCGAGCUUAACUUGGGAACUGCUUUCAAAACUCAUUGACUAGAGAACGAUAGAGGAUAACAGAAUUCCUAGUGUAGAGGUGAAAUUCUUAGAUAUUAGGAGGAAUACCGGUGGCGAAGGCGGUUAUCUGGGUCGUUUCUGACGCCAAGGCGCGAAAGCGUGGGGAGCAAACA